This 951-nucleotide ribosomal RNA is filed under the name Clostridioides difficile. Its description in RNAcentral is "bacterial LSU rRNA". It matches the Rfam family "Bacterial large subunit ribosomal RNA", at positions 1409 to 2368 of the family's 2925-position model. Lineage: Bacteria; Bacillati; Bacillota; Clostridia; Peptostreptococcales; Peptostreptococcaceae. The record is from RNAcentral.
GCGUAGGUGAUGGACAACAGGUUGAUAUUCCUGUACUACCGAUAACCGUUUGAGAGAAGGGAUGACACAGUAGGAUAAGCUAAGCACACUGUUGGUUAUGUGUGCCCAAGCAUUGAGGCAGUCAAAGUAGGCAAAUCCGCUUUGAUAAUGCUGGGAUGUGAUGGGGAGCGAAAUUUAGUAGCGAAGUAGCUGAUUUCACACUGUCAAGAAAAGUCUCUAUCGAGGUUAAAGGUACCCGUACCGCAAACCGACACAGGUGGGUGAGGAGAGUAUCCUAAGGCCAGCGAGAGAACUGUUGUUAAGGAACUCGGCAAAAUGACCCCGUAACUUAGGGAUAAGGGGUGCCACCAUCAGGUGGCCGCAGAGAAUAGGCCCAAGCGACUGUUUACCAAAAACAUAGGUUUCUGCUAAGUCGCAAGACGAUGUAUAGGAGCUGACGCCUGCCCGGUGCUGGAAGGUUAAGGGGAUCUGUUAGAGCAAUCGAAGCAGUGAACUUAAGCCCCAGUAAACGGCGGCCGUAACUAUAACGGUCCUAAGGUAGCGAAAUUCCUUGUCGGGUAAGUUCCGACCCGCACGAAAGGCGUAACGAUUUGGGCACUGUCUCAACAACAGACUCGGUGAAAUUGUAAUUCCGGUGAAGAUGCCGGAUACCUGCGACAGGACGGAAAGACCCCAUGGAGCUUUACUGUAGCUUGACAUUGGGUCUUGGUACUACAUGUACAGGAUAGGUGGGAGGCUUUGAAACCAGGACGCCAGUUUUGGCGGAGCCAUCCUUGGGAUACCACCCUUGUAGUACUGGGACUCUAACCAUAGGCCAUGAAUCUGGUCUUGGGACACUGUCAGGUGGGCAGUUUGACUGGGGCGGUCGCCUCCCAAAAGGUAACGGAGGCGCUCAAAGGUUCUCUCAGUACGGUCGGAAAUCGUACGUAGAGUGUAAAGGCAAAAGAGAGC